UCUCCUGCCAUACUGACAGUAAUGAUCGUGAGGUGAUAGAGUGAGAAUAGGCGCUACUUUUGGACCUGUAUACCUGGCUGACAAUAACUUUGUGACCCUUUGAGAGUAUAAUUUUAAAUGGACAUUAUUUAUUAUUUUGAGAAGUUCAGGUUUUGACCCAGUUUGCGUCCGUGUGUUUGUUCACUCCAGCCUGAAUAAAGUGUACGCCUGUCUACAACACUCUGCUCUCCUGCACCUGACUUCGGCACCAGUACACACACCCUUGACAACAGGAUGCACCUGAGCUCAAUUUCAAGUCUCAUAUCAAAGGAGAUAUCUGCAUGGGCUGCCUCUCAACCCACCGCAACUGGCGAUAUUGGCCUUCCACAUCUGUGGUGAAAGGUGGCAGAGAUGUUUAUCAGACCAUGAGACAUCCUGAAAAUCGGUCUUCUCACAAAAACGUAUGUAGUGUCUGAACAGUUUGGCCUACACAAUGAUGUGACCCCUCUAUGGAAAGGUGAGUCUCUCACAAACACAUCUCAGUGGUUUUAGGACACCCACAAACCACACAAGACUCUCCUGAAGGUAGCCUGGUACCAGAUAAAAACAUUUAUGACAAUAUAUAUGGAAGAGAGAGGUUCAGUGCCUAUAAAGGUUGAUAAAUAUGUGUUAAAAAAAUAAAAACAUUGUUUCAUGAUAUUUCUUAUACAGUAUCUCUCAGAUAUGAAGGACCGCGCGGUACUCUGGACCCUGAUCUCUCUUUUGACGAACAAAUCAAGACUGGUUCAAGGACAGAUUUUUUUCCAUCUACGUAACAUUGCAAAAAUCUGAAACUUUCUGUCCAAAAAUGAUUCAGAAAAAUUAAUCCAAGCUUUUUUUUACUUCCAGGUUAGAGAACUGCAAUGCUCUACUUUCCGGCUACCUGGAUAAAGCACUAAAUCAACUUCAGUUAGUGCUAAAUACGGCUGCUAGAAUCCUGACUAGAACCAAAAAAUGUGAUCAUAUUACUCCAGUGCUAGCCUCCCUACACUGGUUUCCUUUUAAGGCAAGGGCUGAUUUCAAGGUUGUACUGCUAACCUACAAAGCAUUGGCUUUGGCUUGCUCCUACCUAUCUUUCCGAUUUGGUCCUGCAGUACAUUCAUACCAGUACGCUACGGUCUCUGCCUGGUCUGUUCCCCUCUCUCCACUGCAAUUCUCUGCCUCUAACCCUAUUAUAGGGACCGAGUCACUGGCUUACUGGUGCUCUUCCAUGCCGUCCCUAGGAGGGGUGCGUCACUUGAGUGGGUUGAGUC
Molecule: long non-coding RNA, 1271 nt
Organism: Oncorhynchus gorbuscha (pink salmon)
Lineage: Eukaryota; Metazoa; Chordata; Actinopteri; Salmoniformes; Salmonidae
Exons: 3
Source: RefSeq, a predicted model, not a curated record